Long non-coding RNA from Saccostrea cuccullata (small rock oyster), 654 nucleotides. RefSeq lists it as uncharacterized. NCBI's taxonomy places the organism in Eukaryota, Metazoa, Mollusca, Bivalvia, Ostreida, Ostreidae. The transcript is spliced from 4 exons. The record is from RefSeq and is a predicted model, not a curated record.
UUUAAUUUUAGAUCCAUGUGCGCAAGCAAAUGCAUCUUCAUUCUUUGAACCAUAUGCAAGAUUUGAAAAUUGCCAAUAUGAUUCAAAAUACGCACCGUGUGACUGUUACAUAAUUCCCCAGUGGUACAGGGUGGAUGACGUCAUGUUGACGCAAAGUCCGGAGCUUCUCAGUUGCGGCGCUUUGUAUCCUCUUUGGCUAAAAGGAUCCUUGCCGACGACUAGUGACGGUAUUGUUGAAAGAAAAGUUUGCAAGGUCGGAUUUUCAUCUUGUUGUUCAAAAGAGUAUGAUGUUUAGAUCAAACACUGCGGAUCCUUCCAUGCUUAUUGUUUAGGGGCCCUCGAUUCCUGUUCCGAAAGAUAUUGUUUUGGGAAACAAGGUUUAUGUGAAUAUCCAACUGCUAGUACGACAUCAACCACAACAACAUCAAAACCAUCUACGGUUAGCCCACCAACGACAUGCUCUGAGGAUCCUUGCAUAGAAGGAAACCUUCAAACAUUGACACAGGAUAGACUCCGCUCCAUGAAUUGUGAAUUUAAACAAGGGCAGGGGUACUGUGAUGAAUACCUAAAAGCUGGGUGGUAUAAAUCUAGUUCUCCCAUGCUAAAUCGGUGCCCAAAGGUCUUAAGCUGUGCUUCAAUAUACUCAGUAUGGAU